Molecule: long non-coding RNA, 666 nt
Filed under: Sus scrofa (pig)
Lineage: Eukaryota; Metazoa; Chordata; Mammalia; Artiodactyla; Suidae
Description: lncRNA (ENSSSCG00070015812.1)
Source: RNAcentral
UCUUUUCGUAGAGAUCGACCAAAAGAUGGCAGCCAGCUGUGUUUGUCCUCAAGGUACCAUGUUGGGAAGGUAAAGAGAACUGGGAGCUCCAGGAUGUGGGCUCUCCAGUCUGCAGAUUCUAAGGUAAUGCCUUCUCUCUCCAGCAUCCCUAUGGGGAAUCAAGGACACAAUGCAUGUUGAGCACUUGCUAGUAUGUGCUGCUUACAAAGAGAAGCCUGAAGGAUACAGGACCCCAAUGGGACCCAGGCCCCCAGGACCAGCCUUGCAAACACAACAAUCAGAGUGGCCCCAGGCCACAGAAACCGACAUCCAAACUGGAAGUCUGUGGAGUCUGCAGGUCUGGAAAAACUGGAGGGCGACAACCAGGAAGCCAGCCCGUGACUGGACUCUCUUCUGGCCAUAUAUAGAACUAACAAUGUACGCCCUGGAAUCUUGGGAUUGGAGGAAAUCACAUGGGCCACUGAGUCCUCUCACCAGGUACAGUAAUCCCCCUACAGCGGCCCUGCCAAGUGGUCACCCAGACUCUGCUCCAAUUGCUCCAGUAAUGGAGAGCUCUGCAGGGAUCAAGGCAACUAGUUGGUUUUAAAAGCAGGAGCUAGAGUGUAUAGUGACCACCUACCAGGCUGAAGUCUUUCCAUACUCAAUAAAUGCUACAAAAGGCCAACA